This 441-nucleotide ribosomal RNA is filed under the name uncultured bacterium. RNAcentral describes it as "partial 16S ribosomal RNA". It matches the Rfam family "Bacterial small subunit ribosomal RNA", at positions 338 to 795 of the family's 1533-position model. The record is from RNAcentral.
CCUACGGGAGGCAGCAGUGGGGAAUAUUGCACAAUGGGGGAAACCCUGAUGCAGCGACGCCGCGUGGGUGACGAAGUAUUUCGGUAUGUAAAGCCCUAUCAGCAGGGAAGAAGAUGACAGUACCUGACCAAGAAGCCCCGGCUAACUACGUGCCAGCAGCCGCGGUAAUACGUAGGGGGCAAGCGUUAUCCGGAUUUACUGGGUGUAAAGGGAGCGUAGGUGGCAUGGCAAGCCAGAAGUGAAAACCCGGGGCUUAACCCCGCGGAUUGCUUUUGGAACUGUCAGGCUGGAGUGCAGGAGGGGCAGGCGGAAUGCCUGGUGUAGCGGUGAAAUGCGUAGAUAUCAGGAGGAACACCGGUGGCGAAGGCGGCCUGCUGGACUGUAACUGACACUGAGGCUCGAAAGCGUGGGGAGCAAACAGGAUUAGAUACCCGUGUAGUC